UUCCGGUUGAUCCCGCCAGAGGUCACUGCUAUCGGUGUCCGAUUAAGCCAUGCGAGUCGAGAGGUGUAAGACCUCGGCAGACUGCUCAGUAACACGUGGAUAACCUGCCCAAGGGUCCGGGAUAACCCCGGGAAACUGGGGAUAAUACCGGAUGGGUCACCAGUGCUGGAAUGCUUGGUGGUCGAAAGGUGACGCCUUUGGAUGGGUCUGCGGCGGAUUAGGUUGACGCCGGUGUAACGUACCGGCGUGCCUGUAAUCCGUACGGGUUGUGGGAGCAAGAGCCCGGAGAUGGAUUCUGAGACACGAAUCCAGGCCCUACGGGGCGCAGCAGGCGCGAAAACUCUACAAUGCAGGCAACUGCGAUAGGGGGACAUCGAGUGGCAUCCACCUUGGGUGUCUGUCCAACCGUCUAAAAAACGGUUGUUAGCAAGGGCCGGGCAAGACCGGUGCCAGCCGCCGCGGUAAUACCGGCGGCUCGAGUGGUGGCCGAUAUUAUUGAGUCUAAAGGGUCCGUAGCCGGCUUUGCAAGUCCCCUGGGAAAUCCGGCGGCUUAACCGUUGGGCUUUCAUGGGAUACUACAUUGCUUGGGACUGGGAGAGGUAGGAGCUACUCGGGGGGUAGGGGUGAAAUCCUGUAAUCCUCUGGGGACCGCCGGUGGCGAAGGCGUCCUACCAGAACAGGUCCGACGGUGAGGGACGAAAGCUAGGGGCACGAACCGGAUUAGAUACCCGGGUAGUCCUAGCCGUAAACGAUGCCCGCUAGGUGUCACGACGGUCGUGAAUCGUCGUGGUGCCGUAGGGAAGCCGCGAAGCGGGCCACUUGGGAAGUACGGCCGCAAGGCUGAAACUUAAAGGAAUUGGCGGGA
RNAcentral lists this ribosomal RNA (865 nucleotides) under uncultured Methanocella sp. RNAcentral describes it as "bacterial SSU rRNA". It matches the Rfam family "Archaeal small subunit ribosomal RNA", at positions 1 to 873 of the family's 1478-position model. Lineage: Archaea; Methanobacteriati; Methanobacteriota; Methanomicrobia; Methanocellales; Methanocellaceae. The record is from RNAcentral.